RNAcentral lists this ribosomal RNA (1335 nucleotides) under Chionoecetes japonicus pacificus. Its description in RNAcentral is "large subunit ribosomal RNA". The stretch from base 901 to 1275 matches the Rfam family "Archaeal large subunit ribosomal RNA", at positions 2150 to 2716 of the family's 2987-position model. The record is from RNAcentral. Lineage: Eukaryota; Metazoa; Arthropoda; Malacostraca; Decapoda; Majidae.
UUACCGUGCAAAUCGGUUUAUUUUGAUACCUUAUAAAUUGGUUAAAAUUAUAAGUUUUAUGUGUUAAGAAAUCAAUUAUUAAAGAAAAGUAAAAGUUAAAUAAAUUCUAGUUUAAAGCUAUAGGUUAAAAGUACUGUAAAGGAAAUUUUAAAUUUGUGUAGGUAUUGUUAGUAAUUAUAAAAAAAUGUACCUUGUGUAUCAGGGAGAAUCAAAUUAAUUUGAUAAAGACAAUAAUCUCGGAACAAAAAAAGUUAAGUAAUUAGUAAAGUUUUUGUAGUAUAAAAAUUUUAAAUAAUAAUUUAAAGGUGAAAUGCCAGUUGAGUUUUGUGAUAUCUAGUUAUUUGAGAAAUAAAUUUAAUUUAGAUUUUAAUUUUAAUUUUAAUUAAGAUUUAAGAGUAGGAGGGUUUAGCUUCUUAUUCAAUAAGAUAAGUCAAUAGUUUAUUAUUUAAAUUGUAUUUUUAUCUAGGCUUAAGAGUAGCUAUGAUAGUAUAAUGUUCUAAUAAAAAUAUAAUAAUUUAAAAUAUUUAUGGAUUACUUUAAAUUUUAUCAAAAUAUUAAUGGUAUUUUUUAACAUUAAGAAAAAAUGGUUCUAUUAGUAAAAUAUGUUGUAAAUUAGAAAAAUAAAUUAAUUUUACAGAUUUAAAUAUGAGUUGAUAUAAUAAAGGAACUAAGCAAUUUUAUUUCUUGCCUGUUUAUCAAAAACAUGUCUAUUUGGGGGUAUAUAUAGUCUGGCCUGCUCACUGACACAGGAUUGUUUAAGAGCCGCGGUAUUUUGACCGUGCAAAGGUAGCAUAAUCAUUAGCUUUUUGAUUGAAAGCUUGUAUGAAUGGUCGGACAAAGGAAAACUGUCUUUAUUAUAAAAUUAGAAAUUAACCUCUAAGUGAAAAGGCUUAGAUUCUUUAGGGGGACGAUAAGACCCUAUAAAGCUUUACAUAUAAGUAGAGUUUACUUAAUUAAAAAGUAAAAGUUUAAUCUAAUUAGUGUGUUUUGUUGGGGCGACAUAAAUAUAAUUUAUAUUAACUGUUUAUAGCUUAAUACAAUAAUAAAUGAUUUUAAUGUAGUUGAUCCUUAUUAAAGAUUAAAAGACUAAGUUACUUUAGGGAUAACAGCGUUAUUUCUUUUGAGAGCUCCUAUCGAAAAAGAAGUUUGCGACCUCGAUGUUGAAUUAAAAUAUCUAAAUAAUGCAGCAGUUAUUUAAGAAGGUCUGUUCGACCUUUAAAUUUUUACAUGAUUUGAGUUCAGACCGGCGAAAGCCAGGUCGGUUUCUAUCUCCUAAUUGAGGAGUUAUUUUUUAGUACGAAAGGAUUGAGAAGUAAAAAUUAUUUUUAAUUGAUU